Molecule: ribosomal RNA, 492 nt
Filed under: uncultured bacterium
Lineage: Bacteria
Description: partial 16S ribosomal RNA
Rfam family: Bacterial small subunit ribosomal RNA
Source: RNAcentral
AGUGAACGCUUGCGGUAGGCCUAACACAUGCAAGUCGAACGGCAGCACAGUAAGAGCUUGCUCUUACGGGUGGCGAGUGGCGGACGGGUGAGGAAUACAUCGGAAUCUACUUUUUCGUGGGGGAUAACGUAGGGAAACUUACGCUAAUACCGCAUACGACCUACGGGUGAAAGCAGGGGAUCUUCGGACCUUGCGCGAUUGAAUGAGCCGAUGUCGGAUUAGCUAGUUGGCGGGGUAAAGGCCCACCAAGGCGACGAUCCGUAGCUGGUCUGAGAGGAUGAUCAGCCACACUGGAACUGAGACACGGUCCAGACUCCUACGGGAGGCAGCAGUGGGGAAUAUUGGACAACGGGCGCAAGCCUGAUCCAGCCAUACCGCGUGGGUGAAGAAGGCCUUCGGGUCGUAAAGCCCUUUUGUUGGGAAAGAAAAGCAGCAGGUUAAUACCCCGCUGUUCUGACGGUACCCAAAGAAUAAGCACCGGCUAACUUCGUG